CUUUUAUGAAACUCUGCCAGACUCUUCUCUCGUACCUUCUCCCACAGUGGUGCUGAUCGGACACAUUUAUUUUGUGAAUAUCUGGGAUGCCCCUCUCAUGUUUGAUUGAAAAGUCAAAACCAAGGUCUGCCUAGAGUAGUUUCAGCUACUGCCCCUCAGAGCCACUGCUGGAGUGAUUUUUGCCUGACCUUAUGCCUGGAGGAGGAGGCUAAUUUUCUGGAUCUGAUUUUUCCCAAUGACAAUUGAAGCAACAUGCUUUGAAGUCUUCCUACAAGAAAUAGUCCAGCAUAUGUGCCUGUUUCCACUCCAUUUCUCUCUUACCCACUUGAGGACAGUUUGAAUCAUUUUUUAAAGACCUCAGUACUAGACUGUGUUUUAGGACCACAAGGAUGCACAGCACAUGACACAAAUACAUACAGGAGGUGCAGGUGAUAGAGUACCUGGAUCUGGGAACUUGAGCCAUGGAAAUUCUGGAACUGGGAUUCUAGGCUGGAUAUUGCUGCCAGUUCAGGAAGGAAACUCUGAGAAGCUGGGGUACCUGGAUGGAAGGCCAGGGGAGUUUAGACUUGGAAGUUGGAAGGAACUGAGCUAAACUGUGAAUCUAAUCUCUCCUCCCCAG
This 619-nucleotide long non-coding RNA is filed under the name Monodelphis domestica (gray short-tailed opossum). Its description in RNAcentral is "lncRNA (ENSMODG00000049154.1)". Lineage: Eukaryota; Metazoa; Chordata; Mammalia; Didelphimorphia; Didelphidae. The record is from RNAcentral.